Molecule: ribosomal RNA, 119 nt
Filed under: Lepisosteus oculatus (spotted gar)
Lineage: Eukaryota; Metazoa; Chordata; Actinopteri; Semionotiformes; Lepisosteidae
Source: RNAcentral
ACCACCAGCUACAUCACCCUACAACUCACCACUGGGAGCCCCACUGAAGCUCAGCAGGUGUGAGCCUGGCCAGUACCUGGAUGGGAGACCUCCUGGGAAAGCUCAGGCUGCUGCUGGAA